UGGCUUCAAAUCGCGGCGGUUUACCCCUAUAUCUGUGUUUGCCGGGCAACCGGCUAUGGCGAUAAAAGGCGUUCAUAAUAAGCGGAUCGGACCCGGGGGCGGUACCCGGCGGCUCCACCAGAGGACCUGAUAGCUGAUAGACAUCAGUCAUUUCGGGUCUUGCGGCGGGGCCGAAAUAGGAUCGACGAACGUGUAAAGGCUCUGCUUUCGCCCGGAUGGCUUCCGUUAUUGGGCCAUUAUUAUAGUUGCAAAUGACAACUACGAUGAAGAGUUCGCACUCGCAGCGUAAUGCAGCGCGUGUAACUCGCUUUUAAAAGCCCCACGCCUCUUAUCAAGGCCUGGGCGGGGUUUCCCGGCGCACCUGGCAACAGAAGCGUCGGACU
This 383-nucleotide transfer-messenger RNA is filed under the name Aquisalinus flavus. RNAcentral's name for it is "Alphaproteobacteria transfer-messenger RNA". It matches the Rfam family "Alphaproteobacteria transfer-messenger RNA". Rfam says of the family: Bacterial tmRNA, also known as 10Sa RNA or SsrA, is named for its dual tRNA and mRNA-like properties. The record is from Rfam by way of RNAcentral. Lineage: Bacteria; Pseudomonadati; Pseudomonadota; Alphaproteobacteria; Parvularculales; Parvularculaceae.